RNAcentral lists this long non-coding RNA (291 nucleotides) under Gossypium barbadense (sea-island cotton). RNAcentral describes it as "long non-coding RNA (GBAR_LNC015223)". Lineage: Eukaryota; Viridiplantae; Streptophyta; Magnoliopsida; Malvales; Malvaceae. The record is from RNAcentral.
GAUUUUUGUUUUAGGAUCUCAGGCCAUGCCAGUUUUCUUUUAACCGAUUUUAUUUAUCAAACUUAACUUAAUUGAUACGAGCAUGGUUGCAGAGGGCACGAAUAUUAUUGUGAGGCGUUGGAGCAAUGGAGUAUAAGCUACUUGUAAUUAAAAGAAACUUUGAAAAUGUAUGCGGCUCCCAAUUGAGCGAUUAACAAUUUCAUUUCAUUAAAAAGAAAAAAGGAAGUGAUUAUUUAAUUUUGAUUUGAAAUUCGAACAUUCAAGUCUGACCGUUGAUUUCAUCGGUUGUUU